This 447-nucleotide ribosomal RNA is filed under the name uncultured bacterium. RNAcentral's name for it is "bacterial SSU rRNA". It matches the Rfam family "Bacterial small subunit ribosomal RNA", at positions 329 to 793 of the family's 1533-position model. The record is from RNAcentral.
GCCCAGACUCCUACGGGAGGCAGCAGUGGGGAAUAUUGCACAAUGGGGGAAACCCUGAUGCAGCGACGCCGCGUGAGCGAUGAAGUAUUUCGGUAUGUAAAGCUCUAUCAGCAGGGAAGAAGAUGACGGUACCUGACUAAGAAGCCCCGGCUAACUACGUGCCAGCAGCCGCGGUAAUACGUAGGGGGCAAGCGUUAUCCGGAUUUACUGGGUGUAAAGGGAGCGUAGACGGCGAUGCAAGCCAGAUGUGAAAGCCCGGGGCUCAACCCCGGGACUGCAUUUGGAACUGUGUGGCUGGAGUGUCGGAGAGGCAGGCGGAAUUCCUAGUGUAGCGGUGAAAUGCGUAGAUAUUAGGAGGAACACCAGUGGCGAAGGCGGCCUGCUGGACGAUGACUGACGUUGAGGCUCGAAAGCGUGGGGAGCAAACAGGAUUAGAUACCCCCGUAU